UGUUUUCCUCCCUCAGUUUGCCAGGGGUGAGAAAGCAGAGCUCAAAUGAACACAUCUGGCACAGUGUACCAAACUAAGCCACUAAUACAAAAGGUGGAUCCUCCAACACCAGCCACAGGUGACAGGAUAAGAAGCCCAGCACAUCAUGUAUAAGAUAUAAAUGGAUCCAUCUGUCAGCAGUUAUUUUAUGAGGGAACUGCUCCCAAUUAUGCCAGAAACAGCUUUUAAUGAAACAUGAUUUGAAAGCACUACAGAGGGGAAGAAAAUGUGCAAAGUAAAUUCCUGAUCCAGUGAAAAUUGAGAAGAGUGAUAGAUUCUGCCAUUAUAAUUGGCAAACAGAAGGGAGGGGUUUGAUAGAGAUGGCGGUAGAACAGCUUUUGGGGCCAUAUUUGGCUGGGAUAGCAAUCUUCUAAUCAUAUGUCCAGCCUGUCUUCAGAGGUCAUUUUCAAGGUACAUUUUCAGAUGAGAAAUAGAGGUGUUAUAUGACAAUUUCACUGAUGGCUGCAAAGAAAUGUUCAUUACGUUGCCUUCUUGCCACAGGAGGGACCAGCCGUGUAUCAAACGGGGGAACAGGUGUCAAUGAAAAACUGGAGUUUAGGUAUUCUGAAUCUAAAUCCUUCAUACAGUCCACUUUCAGCCCUUUCUCUUAUGACAGGAAGUCAAUGAACCCAUAUUAAGUGGCAGGCAAAUAUUUUUUUUUUCUCCCCAAUUUCUUCUGAGUUUUGGAUUUUUGGUUGUUUGGUGUGGGUUUUUUUCAUUAUUUCGUAUUUAUUAUCUCAAUCAUCACAAGAGCUGCUCUUCCCAUAGCCUGGCUGCUGGAGGCACACCAUUUAUUUCUUUUGGCAAAGCAGUCACCAGUGUUCUAGCCUGAGAGACAGGACUUAAUAAUGCUGAAUUUAAAGUUAUUAGAAAUACCAUUGCUUUCACAAGUACACAAAUAUUGAAUUACUACAUCUAUUGGAGAUCGGCUGAAUUACGAGUCGGGUUUCACGGACUGAUUUAUGCUGGAAAUUCACAUUUACAAAUUAUUUUCCCCAAUAAACCAGGCUUAGGUAUGACAGAGAAGUUAUUGCUGUUACUGGUGAAAUGUUUUCUACUUUGCUCUUUGUUCCUGGGAAUGCUGUACACCCAACAAUAUAUUUCCCUCAUGAAAUAGCUUGCCUGAAACAUCUGCUGCCAGAAAGUUUGUCCGGAACUUGCAAUGAUGGAUGAAUUUUUGACAGGUAAUUGCAAUUCAGAUCAAGAUGCAGACAGAUUUAGUACCUAGAAGCUCCCAGUUUAUUAAAAUCACCAUUGAUUUAUUUGGGCACCCCCCUCUCUUUUCACCACCAUUCAGAAAUUAAUCACUUGGGUAUGGUGUUCAGGGCUCAUCCAGCUGCUCGUAAUAUGAAAUACAUCAGUUUAUCCCAACUUUAUCUAUCUCUCAGCACUUCUGGAGGACCUAUCGCCACAGUGUCUAGUCACCACCAAACCCAACAUCUACCAUUAGUGUAAGCCUUUCAUGAAGCUCCAAAGAAAUUGUACAGUUUGUAUUAGUCAGAAGGUUUAAAAUCUUCAGACUUCUCUUCAGGCUUACUAAAGAAAAUUAAGUGUCACCACUGCCUAUCCCACCCAUGAAAAUUAUGUUUAUCCUUUCCUUAGUAGCUGAAAAGACUGGAAGGCUCCACUGGUUUGGUUCCCAUCAGCACGGUGUUUUUCUUUUUGCAGCAUAUAGCAAAUUCAUUACUGAAUAGACAAAUGUCACUGAAAUAAUACAUAUCUAUAUUAUAUAUCCACCUGGUGCUUUCUCCAGUUCUCAGUGAAGUUAGCAAAGGUUCACUGGAGAUAUUUCACUCAGCCCUGGCAGUUUCCAGACAGAUUUCCAUCAACCCUUUUGGAAAUUCAGACACUGACUUUCUUUGCAACUCACAUCUGUUCUGAUAAACCAUUAGUUAUGCAUGGAGAGCAGCCAGAUGACCUCCAGCUAUUUUUCUUAUACCUUUCCCAGACUAAACAGAGCUAGGCAAGUGUGGGGCCUGCUUGGAGAAGAGCCACAGAAAGUUGAGGAUGCUGGGGUAAAAUGAGCAUGGCAAAUGCAGACACUUAUAGCAUUUCUACUUGAUUUAACCCAGAAUUGUCAUUACAGUUAUUCCAGAAUAGCCACUGAAGUGAAUCAAAGAGAAGAAUGGCAGAAGGUAACAGGUGAUGUGAUUCCUUGGAUAUAAGCUAAAAAUACACAACUCUCAGCACCUGAUCAGAGAUCCCAAUAUUCUCUCCUGCAGUGGGCACAAGCAGAUGUCAAAGGACAAGUAAGACCAGACCAUGGAACUCCUGUGAGUACUAUUCCACCUGCCAGUUCUUUCCAGCCUAGAGGGAUUUUCUCAGCCAGCUGUAAUUUUGUGCAUUUACUGUCAAAGGAGAGGGAAACACAGUUUUGGAAGAUGUGAUCCAUCUCUGUGACCUGAUGAGAGAUCAUUAGUCUGAAAACUGAACUUGAACUUCAGAACUGGGGCUGCAACGGGAAAGAAUCACAGGAGAAGCCGCUUGGGUUUUGAGUCUGCACUUUCACCAAAGCCAGAGCAAAGUUUUAGAGUCAUGGAAAAUUAGAAAGAAAAGAGCACAAGAUCAUGACUGGAAAAUAAGCACUUCCUUCUCACCAUAAACUUGUUCACCAGGCAAGUAUUUCUCCUCUAAUAAAAAUCAAUACAUGCUAAAUCUGCAGUGAGUGCAGUUAAACAUCACAUAUUACCAUUGAUGCACCACCCCCCACUCAGCAAGGUCACUGAACCCAAACUUCAGUGUUUCACAU
Long non-coding RNA from Empidonax traillii (willow flycatcher), 2788 nucleotides. RefSeq lists it as uncharacterized. The transcript has 3 exons. The record is from RefSeq and is a predicted model, not a curated record. Lineage: Eukaryota; Metazoa; Chordata; Aves; Passeriformes; Tyrannidae.